This 469-nucleotide ribosomal RNA is filed under the name uncultured bacterium. Its description in RNAcentral is "partial 16S ribosomal RNA". It matches the Rfam family "Bacterial small subunit ribosomal RNA", at positions 28 to 508 of the family's 1533-position model. The record is from RNAcentral.
GACGAACGCUGGCGGCGUGCUUAACACAUGCAAGUCGAACGGAAAGGCCCUGCUUUUGUGGGGUGCUCGAGUGGCGAACGGGUGAGUAACACGUGAGUAACCUGCCCUUGACUUUGGGAUAACUUCAGGAAACUGGGGCUAAUACCGGAUAGGAGCUCCUGCUGCAUGGUGGGGGUUGGAAAGUUUCGGCGGUUGGGGAUGGACUCGCGGCUUAUCAGCUUGUUGGUGGGGUAGUGGCUUACCAAGGCUUUGACGGGUAGCCGGCCUGAGAGGGUGACCGGCCAAAUUGGGACUGAGAUACGGCCCAGACUCCUACGGGGGGCAGAAGGGGGGAAUAUUGCACAAUGGGCGGAAGCCUGAUGCAGCAACGCCGCGGGCGGGAUGACGGCCUUCGGGUUGUAAAACGCUUUCGCCUGUGACGAAGCGUGAGUGACGGUAAUGGGUAAAGAAGCACCGGCUAACUACGUGC